GAAUAAAAUGGGAGUUCCGGUAAUUCAAUAUCUGCCCUUAUCAAUCAAGGUCUAUUUGUCCAAUUCUUCCGGGCAUUGGCAAGAAAGGAAAGGAAAGGUAAGACGGGUCCGGUAAUGCAGUAAAGUAAAGCAGUCAAUUCAGUAAUCGACGGCACUAAACUAAUGCACUAAAGCACAGCAGCGGCUGCUGGUUGAGCUGACAGGCUGAGUGAGAGCUCCUACGAUAGAUGAUUAUUAAAUGCCAUCUCAAUUCCCAUCUCCCACCCAUCCCAUAUUUUUUUCGGGGAAACGCCUCGAAAAUAUAUUCUUCUGUCCAAUCCACAGUGUUGUUUGGAUUUGGGCUAAAAUGAUAAACGAAAAAUAAGGGCGCCACACGCGCGGAUGCGCGAUUGAUUCCUUUUGUGGUCGUCCUUUAGGAAUUAUUAGAAAAAUGACUCAUGAAAAAAUUCUUUUAUUGUUUCGAUUGUAAGACGCCAGAAGCGUCUUCUUUUGAACCAUCUUCCCGAGUUGACUUGACUACUUAAAACGAACGGGCAUUCCCCAACUGGAACCGGGGGAUUCCAGGGAAGUGCUUGAAGAUAAAGUGGGCCAAGUUCUGAAAACCCACUUUAACUUUUUGAGCAAGGACAUC
RNAcentral lists this long non-coding RNA (631 nucleotides) under Olea europaea (common olive). RNAcentral describes it as "long non-coding RNA (OEUR_LNC014800)". Lineage: Eukaryota; Viridiplantae; Streptophyta; Magnoliopsida; Lamiales; Oleaceae. The record is from RNAcentral.